CCUACGGGGUGCAGCAGUGAGGAAUAUUGGUCAAUGGGCGAGAGCCUGAACCAGCCAAAUCGCGUGAAGGAUGAAGGAUCUAUGGUUUGUAAACUUCUAUUAUAUGGGAAUAAAGUGAGGAACGUGUUCCUUUUUGUAUGUACCAUAUGAAUAAGCAUCGGCUAACUCCGUGCCAGCAGCCGCGGUAAUACGGAGGAGGCGAGCGUUAUCCGGAUUUAUUGGGUUUAAAGGGUGCGUAGGUGGUUAAUUAAGUCAGCGGUGAAAGUUUGUGGCUCAACCAUAAAAUUGCAGUUGAAACUGGCAGUCUUGAGUACAGUAGCGGUGGGCGGAAUUCGUGGUGUAGCGGUGAUAUGCAUAGAUAGCACGCAGAACUCCGAUUGCGAAGGCAGCAUACCGGCGCCCGACUGACGCUGAGGCACGAAAGCGUGGGUAUCGAACAGGAUUAGAUACCCGAGUAGUC
This 460-nucleotide ribosomal RNA is filed under the name uncultured bacterium. RNAcentral's name for it is "partial 16S ribosomal RNA". It matches the Rfam family "Bacterial small subunit ribosomal RNA", at positions 338 to 795 of the family's 1533-position model. The record is from RNAcentral.